GACGAAGGUCCCAAGCGUUACCCGGAUUUACUGGGUGUAAAGGGAGAGAAGGCGGUGUUUUAAGUUCUUCAUUAAAGACUACGAGCCCAACUCGUAGUAAGGGAAGAAUACUGAAACACUAGAGAUUGCAAGUGGCCAUCAGAACGGUCGGUGUAGGGGUGAAAUCCGAAGAUAUCGACCUGAAUGCCAAAGGCGAAGGCAGUUGGCUAGUGCAAUUCUGACGCUGAUCUCUCGAAAGCUAGUGGCGCGAACCGG
This 255-nucleotide ribosomal RNA is filed under the name uncultured bacterium. Its description in RNAcentral is "partial 16S ribosomal RNA". It matches the Rfam family "Bacterial small subunit ribosomal RNA", at positions 524 to 776 of the family's 1533-position model. The record is from RNAcentral.